CCGAGAGAGAGCUAGAGAAGCACGAGAGAGAGACUGAAGGGUCUAAACCCCCCCUUCCGGGCUUGGGUCGGGGGGGGAGCACAGUGGAACCGUUACCUCCGGGCGGCCCGGCUGGCGGGCCCGGGGCGGGGAGAGAAACUCCCGGCGGCUCGACGGUCUCAAGGGGGGGUACCUGUGCCGCUCGCAGCCUGAAGCGGCGACAGCCCCGACUCUUGGGCGAGGUUUAAUGAGAGGCCCCCGCCUCUGCGCCUCCGCCCCCCCUCCGUCGGCUGUUGGGUCCUCGCCUUGGGCGCGGGCCGCCCUUUUUUGUCGACGUUCACCUCCCGGUUCGGGAACGGUCAGUGGAAAGAAAAGCGAACAAAACCUGAAAACCAAAAAAACACAACUCUGAGCGGUGGAUCACUCGGCUCGUGCGUCGAUGAAGAGCGCAGCCAGCUGCGAGAAGUGAUGUGAAUUGCAGGACACAUUGAACAUCGACGACUUGAACGCACUUUGCGGUCUCGGGUAACUCCCGGGACCACGCCUGUCUCAGGGUCGAUUGCAGUCUGACCUUCGCUCUCCGCCUCGGGGGCCCCCGUGCCCCCCAAGAGAGCGCCUUGGGCCCGGUCGCAGCUCCCCCGGCCUCUGUGGGCGAGCUCCGUCCCCUCAAGUUCAGACCUCGGAGAGACGUAGAGCUGGGCUCCCCACCCUGCCCGUCAACUUGGGGAGGUCGCACCCCACGUCCUCGUUCCGUCGCGCGGAGCGGUGCCACGGCCUGUAGGUGGCUAGCUACGCGGGUCGGCCGGUGGUGCGAGGCUCUCGUCCGCAGCUCUUUUUCUCGAUUACUCGACCUGAGAUCAGACGAGACUACC
This 851-nucleotide unclassified non-coding RNA is filed under the name Perinereis nuntia. Its description in RNAcentral is "partial contains ITS1, 5.8S rRNA and ITS2". The stretch from base 384 to 537 matches the Rfam family "5.8S ribosomal RNA". Lineage: Eukaryota; Metazoa; Annelida; Polychaeta; Phyllodocida; Nereididae. The record is from RNAcentral.